GAUGAACGCUGGCGGCGUGCCUAAUACAUGCAAGUCGAGCGAAAGGACGCGAAGCUUGCUUCUCUGAUGUUAGCGGCGGACGGGUGAGAAACACGUGGAUAACCUACCUAUCAGACUGGGAUAACUUCGGGAAACCGGCGCUAAUACCGGAUAAUAUUUUGAACCGCAUGGUUCAAAAGUGAAAGACGGUCUUGCUGUCACUAAUAGAUGGAUCCGAGCUGUAUUAGCUGGUUGGUAAGGUAACGGCUUAUCAAGGGAAGGAUGCAUAGCCGACCUCAUGGAGGGUUAGCCCCCCCGGGAGGUGAGCCCCCGUCCAGACUCCUACGGGAGGCCCCAGUAGGGAAUCUUCCGCAAUAGUCGAAAGCCUGACGGAGCAGCGCCGCGUGAGAUAUGGAGGUCUUCGGAUCGGAAAGCUCUGUUAUGAGUGAUGAACAUAUGUGUAAUUAACUGUGCACAUCUUGACGGUACCUAAUCAGAAAGCCCCGGCUAACUACGUG
RNAcentral lists this ribosomal RNA (497 nucleotides) under uncultured bacterium. RNAcentral describes it as "partial 16S ribosomal RNA". It matches the Rfam family "Bacterial small subunit ribosomal RNA", at positions 28 to 507 of the family's 1533-position model. The record is from RNAcentral.